CCAGACAGCCAGGAUGUUGGCUUAGAAGCAGCCAUCAUUUAAAGAAAGCGUAAUAGCUCACUGGUCGAGUCGGCCUGCGCGGAAGAUGUAACGGGGCUAAACCAUGCACCGAAGCUGCGGCAGCGACGCUUAUGCGUUGUUGGGUAGGGGAGCGUUCUGUAAGCCUGCGAAGGUGGCCUGUGAGGGUUGCUGGAGGUAUCAGAAGUGCGAAUGCUGACAUAAGUAACGAUAAAGCGGGUGAAAAGCCCGCUCGCCGGAAGACCAA
This 265-nucleotide ribosomal RNA is filed under the name Salmonella enterica subsp. enterica serovar Thompson. Its description in RNAcentral is "partial 23S ribosomal RNA". It matches the Rfam family "Bacterial large subunit ribosomal RNA", at positions 1085 to 1348 of the family's 2925-position model. The record is from RNAcentral. Lineage: Bacteria; Pseudomonadati; Pseudomonadota; Gammaproteobacteria; Enterobacterales; Enterobacteriaceae. RNAcentral also lists the same sequence under 1 other name.